This 1480-nucleotide ribosomal RNA is filed under the name metagenome. RNAcentral's name for it is "bacterial SSU rRNA". It matches the Rfam family "Bacterial small subunit ribosomal RNA". The record is from RNAcentral.
AGAGUUUGAUCCUGGCUCAGGAUGAACGCUAGCGACAGGCCUAACACAUGCAAGUUGAGGGGUGACAUUGUAGCUUGCUACAGAUGACGACCGGCGCACGGGUGAGUAACGCGUAUGCAACCUGCCUAUAACAGGGGGAUAGCUCCCGGAAACGGGGAUUAAUACCGCAUAAGACUACGGAUAAGCAUUUAUCAGUAGUAAAAAUUCCGAUGGUUAUAGAUGGGCAUGCGUGACAUUAGAUUGUUGGUGAGGUAACGGCUCACCAAGUCUGCGAUGUCUAGGGGUUCUGAGAGGAAGGUCCCCCACACUGGUACUGAGACACGGACCAGACUCCUACGGGAGGCAGCAGUGAGGAAUAUUGGUCAAUGGACGCAAGUCUGAACCAGCCAUGUCGCGUGCAGGAUGACAGCCCUAUGGGUUGUAAACUGCUUUUGUACGGGAAGAAAACUAUCUACGUGUAGAUAAUUGCCGGUACCGUACGAAUAAGGAUCGGCUAACUCCGUGCCAGCAGCCGCGGUAAUACGGAGGAUCCGAGCGUUAUCCGGAUUUAUUGGGUUUAAAGGGUGCGUAGGCUGAAGAUUAAGUCAGUGGUGAAAGUUUGCGGCUCAACCGUAAAAUUGCCAUUGAUACUGGUUUUCUUGAGUACAUUUGAGGUAGGCGGAAUGUAGUAUGUAGCGGUGAAAUGCAUAGAUAUACUACAGAACACCGAUUGCGAAGGCAGCUUACUAAACUGUAACUGACGCUGAGGCACGAAAGCGUGGGUAUCAAACAGGAUUAGAUACCCUGGUAGUCCACGCUGUAAACGAUGAUCACUCGUUGUUUACGAUACAUUGCAAGUGACCAAGAGAAAUCGAUAAGUGAUCCACCUGGGGAGUACGGCGGCAACGCUGAAACUCAAAGGAAUUGACGGGGGCCCGCACAAGCGGAGGAACAUGUGGUUUAAUUCGAUGAUACGCGAGGAACCUUACCUGGGUUUAAAUGGGGAGUGACAGGCUUAGAAAUAGGCUUUUCUUCGGACACUCUUCAAGGUGCUGCAUGGUUGUCGUCAGCUCGUGCCGUGAGGUGUCGGGUUAAGUCCCAUAACGAGCGCAACCCACGUCGUUAGUUGCCAUCAGGUCAUGCUGGGCACUCUAACGAGACUGCCGGUGUAAACCGCGAGGAAGGUGCGGAUGACGUCAAAUCAGCACGGCCCUUACAUCCAGGGCUACACACGUGUUACAAUGGUCGGUACAAAGGGCAGCUACCUGGUGACAGGAUGCUAAUCUCGAAAACCGAUCCCAGUUCGGAUCGAAGUCUGCAACCCGACUUCGUGAAGCUGGAUUCGCUAGUAAUCGCGCAUCAGCCAUGGCGCGGUGAAUACGUUCCCGGGCCUUGUACACACCGCCCGUCAAACCAUGGAAGCCGGGGGUACCUGAAGUCUGUAACCGUAAGGAGCGGCCUAGGGUAAAUCUGGUAACUAGGGUUAAGUCGUAACAAGGUA